This 207-nucleotide ribosomal RNA is filed under the name uncultured bacterium. Its description in RNAcentral is "partial 16S ribosomal RNA". It matches the Rfam family "Bacterial small subunit ribosomal RNA", at positions 568 to 774 of the family's 1533-position model. The record is from RNAcentral.
CGCGUAGGCGGUAUAUUAAGUCAGGUGUGAAAGCCCUGGGCUCAACCCAGGAACUGCGCUUGAUACUGGUAUGCUUGAAUUCGGUAGAGGUUGGUGGAAUUCCCAGUGUAGAGGUGAAAUUCGUAGAGAUUGGGAAGAACAUCCGUGGCGAAGGCGGCCAACUGGACCGACAUUGACGCUGAGGCGCGAAAGCGUGGGGAGCAAACA